GAGUGUAUAGCUCGGUGGCAGAGUGCGUGCUUAGCAUGCACAAAGUCCUGGGUUCAAUCCCCACUACCUCCA
Molecule: transfer RNA, 72 nt
Filed under: Camelus bactrianus (Bactrian camel)
Lineage: Eukaryota; Metazoa; Chordata; Mammalia; Artiodactyla; Camelidae
Also listed under: 1 other name
Rfam family: tRNA
About the family: Transfer RNA (tRNA) molecules are approximately 80 nucleotides in length. Their secondary structure includes four short double-helical elements and three loops (D, anti-codon, and T loops).
Source: Rfam by way of RNAcentral